GAGUUUGAUCCUGGCUCAGGAUGAACGCUAGCGACAGGCUUAACACAUGCAAGUCGAGGGGCAGCGGGUAGAUGAGCUUGCUCAUUUAUGCCGGCGACCGGCGCACGGGUGAGUAACACGUAUGCAACCUGCCCGUCUCAGGGGGAUAAUCGUCGGAAACGGCGUCUAAUACCCCGUAUGAAGCUGGACGGCAUCGUCUGGUUUUGAAAGAAUAUCGGAGACGGAUGGGCAUGCGGCGCAUUAGCUAGUUGGCGGGGUAACGGCCCACCAAGGCGACGAUGCGUAGGGGUUCUGAGAGGAAGGUCCCCCACACUGGUACUGAGACACGGACCAGACUCCUACGGGAGGCAGCAGUGAGGAAUAUUGGUCAAUGGGCGAGAGCCUGAACCAGCCAAGUCGCGUGAGGGAGUACUGCCCUAUGGGUUGUAAACCUCUUUUGUCGGGGAGCAAAAGCCGGACGUGUCCGGCUGUGAGAGUACCCGAAGAAAAAGCAUCGGCUAACUCCGUGCCAGCAGCCGCGGUAAUACGGAGGAUGCGAGCGUUAUCCGGAUUUAUUGGGUUUAAAGGGUGCGCAGGCGGAUUUUUAAGUCAGCGGUCAAAUCGUGGGGCUCAACCCCAUCCAGCCGUUGAAACUGGGGAUCUAGAGUGUGCGAGAGGUAUGCGGAAUGCGUGGUGUAGCGGUGAAAUGCAUAGAUAUCACGCAGAACCCCGAUUGCGAAGGCAGCAUACCGGUGCACAACUGACGCUCAGGCACGAAAGCGUGGGUAUCGAACAGGAUUAGAUACCCUGGUAGUCCACGCAGUAAACGAUGAAUGCUACCUGUUUGGCCAGAUUGAAGGCUGAGCGGGACAGCGAAAGCGUUAAGCAUUCCACCUGGGGAGUACGCCGGCAACGGUGAAACUCAAAGGAAUUGACGG
This 917-nucleotide ribosomal RNA is filed under the name uncultured bacterium. Its description in RNAcentral is "bacterial SSU rRNA". It matches the Rfam family "Bacterial small subunit ribosomal RNA", at positions 9 to 916 of the family's 1533-position model. The record is from RNAcentral.